Molecule: ribosomal RNA, 113 nt
Filed under: uncultured bacterium Ak20-3
Lineage: Bacteria
Source: RNAcentral
AGGGCUGCAUUGAGCUACUCUCCCACAGUUAAGACUGCAGUACCAUCGCCGUGAGUAGGCUUAACUUCCGUGUUCGGGAAGGGAACGGGUGUCUCCCUACCACUAUCGACACA